Molecule: long non-coding RNA, 355 nt
Filed under: Cyanistes caeruleus (blue tit)
Lineage: Eukaryota; Metazoa; Chordata; Aves; Passeriformes; Paridae
Description: lncRNA (ENSCCEG00000022740.1)
Source: RNAcentral
AUCACUCUGUUCCUUGCAACAUAACUUUUAACAUUUCUUGCAGAAGAGGCAAUUCUAAAUCACACAGGAGGCUGGUAGACAAGGAAUGAAUUGUUCCACCUCACACAAGGCUAAGGUUUCCUAUUUUCUCUCUGUUUCCUAGUGCACAGUAAUGCACUGCAAUGCUGGAACUGCACUGAACGUCUGAGUCAGGGCCCAAAGGAGGAAUUUCAGCUGCCAUUAUCUUCACGUGUAACAAGCUGACCAGUUGACAUUCUUAAAGAUCUUACCCCAAAUAUCAAUAUUUCUGUUCUACAAACACAAUAUAAGCCACUUGGAUUUAAUGAUGCAGUGACAAAAAAAAUAAAAAUAACAG